GGCCCCGUAGUUCAAGGGAUAGAACGAAAGUUUCCUAAACUUUAGAUUCGAGUUCGAGUCUCGGCGGGGCUA
This 72-nucleotide transfer RNA is filed under the name Bacteroidales bacterium. RNAcentral describes it as "tRNA-Arg". It matches the Rfam family "tRNA". From Rfam's summary of the family: Transfer RNA (tRNA) molecules are approximately 80 nucleotides in length. The record is from RNAcentral. Lineage: Bacteria; Pseudomonadati; Bacteroidota; Bacteroidia; Bacteroidales.